GAACGGUAGCACAGAGGAGCUUGCUCCUUGGGUGACGAGUGGCGGACGGGUGAGUAAUGUCUGGGAAACUGCCCGAUGGAGGGGGAUAACUACUGGAAACGGUAGCUAAUACCGCAUAACGUCUUCGGACCAAAGUGGGGGACCUUCGGGCCUCACACCAUCGGAUGUGCCCAGAUGGGAUUAGCUAGUAGGUGGGGUAAUGGCUCACCUAGGCGACGAUCCCUAGCUGGUCUGAGAGGAUGACCAGCCACACUGGAACUGAGACACGGUUCAGACUCCUACGGGAGGCAGCAGUGGGGAAUAUUGCACAAUGGGCGCAAGCCUGAUGCAGCCAUGCCGCGUGUAUGAAGAAGGCCUUCGGGUUGUAAAGUACUUUCAGCGGGGAGGAAGGCGAUGUGGUUAAUAACCGCAUCGAUUGACGUUACCGACAGAAUAAGCACCGGCUAACUCUGUG
RNAcentral lists this ribosomal RNA (454 nucleotides) under uncultured bacterium. RNAcentral describes it as "bacterial SSU rRNA". It matches the Rfam family "Bacterial small subunit ribosomal RNA", at positions 64 to 507 of the family's 1533-position model. The record is from RNAcentral.